UCCACACCCAAGCUUUGUGUCAUCAUCAACAACCCUUCUUUAACACCUUCUAUGAGAAGAUUGGUUGUCUUUUCUCUCCUAUUUUCAUAUCAACAAUCCUUUGCAAUGACUAUUGUCACCAUAAUUGUAACAAUUAUUCGAGUUACAACCCUUUGCAUAGUGACUAUAGUUGCCACAUUUGAAACUCUCAACAUUUGAGUUGCUUGAUUGACCACCUCUCCACUGACCUCGUCCUUGUCCACGCCAAUAUUGUUGUCCUGAUUGUUCUUUCUCUUCUUCCUAUCUUCGAUCUCUACCUCAAAGACCAUUUAUCUACCUCCU
This 321-nucleotide long non-coding RNA is filed under the name Vigna radiata. Its description in RNAcentral is "long non-coding RNA (VRAD_LNC017378)". Lineage: Eukaryota; Viridiplantae; Streptophyta; Magnoliopsida; Fabales; Fabaceae. The record is from RNAcentral.